Molecule: ribosomal RNA, 550 nt
Filed under: Escherichia coli
Lineage: Bacteria; Pseudomonadati; Pseudomonadota; Gammaproteobacteria; Enterobacterales; Enterobacteriaceae
Description: partial 23S ribosomal RNA
Rfam family: Bacterial large subunit ribosomal RNA
Source: RNAcentral
AGACCCGAAACCCGGUGAUCUAGCCAUGGGCAGGUUGAAGGUUGGGUAACACUAACUGGAGGACCGAACCGACUAAUGUUGAAAAAUUAGCGGAUGACUUGUGGCUGGGGGUGAAAGGCCAAUCAAACCGGGAGAUAGCUGGUUCUCCCCGAAAGCUAUUUAGGUAGCGCCUCGUGAAUUCAUCUCCGGGGGUAGAGCACUGUUUCGGCAAGGGGGUCAUCCCGACUUACCAACCCGAUGCAAACUGCGAAUACCGGAGAAUGUUAUCACGGGAGACACACGGCGGGUGCUAACGUCCGUCGUGAAGAGGGAAACAACCCAGACCGCCAGCUAAGGUCCCAAAGUCAUGGUUAAGUGGGAAACGAUGUGGGAAGGCCCAGACAGCCAGGAUGUUGGCUUAGAAGCAGCCAUCAUUUAAAGAAAGCGUAAUAGCUCACUGGUCGAGUCGGCCUGCGCGGAAGAUGUAACGGGGCUAAACAAUGCACCGAAGCUGCGGCAGCGACACUGUGUGUUGUUGGGUAGGGGAGCGUUCUGUAAGCCUGUGAAGGUG